This is a long non-coding RNA of Pantherophis guttatus, 1559 nucleotides long. RefSeq lists it as uncharacterized. The record is from RefSeq and is a predicted model, not a curated record. NCBI's taxonomy places the organism in Eukaryota, Metazoa, Chordata, Lepidosauria, Squamata, Colubridae.
CAGGUACACAUCUGGAACUGCUGGAUGCCCACGUGUAGGACCCUUUUAUACACCAGGGGAGGAGUCUGAGGUGGCGUCUGGGCAUGUGCGAGGCCCAUUUCACGCUGGAGGCCGUCCGGAGAGGAGCUCAUGGCUGCAGGUCUCAGGCCUAGGCCUAGGCCUGCUGGUGGAGCGCUUGACUCACCCCUGGUGGGUCUGGAUGCAUCGUAGGACCCUGGAAGUCGCUGCUGGGCUGUGUAGUCCCCGGUGAAGAAUGGCUGGAGGCUCGGGAUCGAAGCAGUCUUAAGUCAAGGACUUUUGAGGAUCGGUGGCACGGCGGCGGCGGCGAUGGCAGCGAUGGCUGGUCCUGAUCCGGAUGUGCUGGCCCCUGGUCAGUUGGAGAAGCCUGGUGGGGGUCGUGGAGCAGGUACACAUCUGGAACUGCUGGAUGCCCACGUGUAGGACCCUUUUAUACACCAGGGGAGGAGUCUGAGCAGAUUUUGGUCGCAGCUUCUAGCUCUGCUUUUGUGGAGUCGUCCCUGGUCCGGAGCAGCUUGACAGGCUUCUAUAGGGAGCCCUCGCCCUUUGCGCCCCAGGAUUUCUCCUAGCGCACUUGCGGGGCUCUACCUCUGUCUGUUGACUCUUCUCUCUCCCCUUUGCCCGGGGAGAGGGUUCCAAGCCUCCAGACAGCUGUUUUUCGGCUGUUCUGGGGCUUUUACAGAACCAGGGAUUGGGCGCUCAUAAAAGAGCGUCUUCAAAGCUUGCAGAGCCAAGCGGAAGUCAGAAGUGAAUCGGAGAAGCUUGGAUUUUCAAGAUAUCAAGAAGGAUUAGAAAUGGAACAUUACAAUUUCUCUACAAAAAUGGAUUUUUAAUCCUAUUUAAAGAGGUGUGUUGCUUAAAAGGAAUUACUUUGCGAGCUGCACAGGACUGGAAGAUAAAAUUACAGUUGAAUACACAAAAGCUUGUAAAAAUAAAAGAUGGUGGAAUAAAGCGGAAGAAGAAGGCUCGGAAAAAAACCAGGGGGAAAUGGAAGUGGAAGAAUUUUAUUCCUCUUUGUUAGGCAGGAUAACACGGUGAACGAUUGUAUUGGUACUCAAGAUUUUUACUAAGGAUAUGAUUUGUUUGGUUUUGAAAAAAAUUUUUUUCUUUACUUAUGACUGGGUGUUUCAACUGUUAUAAAAAUGGAUUUUUAAAAAAGAAAUUUUCUUUUGGAUGUUAAAUGAUUGGAGGUUUCAACUGUUAUAUAAACGUGAACAAGGAUAUGAUCCUUUGGUUAUGAUUGGAUGGAUUAUAUCUAAAAAUUAUUUUAAAUAAUGGAUUAAAGGAGAAAUUUCCUUUUGGAUGUUAAAUUCAAGGCUAUAGAUUUUUCAAUAUAUUUUCAAGGGCUUUAAAUUGUUUGUUUAUUGUUGAACUAAUUGGGAUUAACUACCUUUAAGCAAGAAAAGUUAUAUUUUGUUUUGAACAAGGAGAGUUAAAGUACAAGUGAUAGAUAAAUAUAUAUGCUUUCUCAGGUUUUCGCGGGUGUUUGUAUGUAGGUCUUUGGUUAUUCGGGUCUUCUCCCACGUAAAAUUGGAAGUGUC